AACGAACGCUGGCGGCGCGCCUAAUACAUGCAAGUCGAGCGAGAAGACGUAGCAAUACGUUUGUAAAGCGGCGAACGGGUGAGGAAUACAUGGGUAACCUACCCUCGAGUGGGGAAUAACUAGCCGAAAGGUUAGCUAAUACCGCGUACGCUCCUUGGACUUCGGUUCAGGGAGGAAAGCGAUACCGUGGGUAUCGCGCUCUUGGAUGGGCUCAUGUCCUAUCAGCUUGUUGGGAGGUAACGGCUCACCAAGGCUUCGACGGGUAGCUGGUCUGAGAGGACGAUCAGCCACACUGGCACUGCGACACGGGCCAGACUCCUACGGGAGGCAGCAGUAAGGAAUAUUGCGCAAUGGGCGAAAGCCUGACGCAGCGACGCCGCGUGC
RNAcentral lists this ribosomal RNA (384 nucleotides) under uncultured bacterium. RNAcentral describes it as "bacterial SSU rRNA". It matches the Rfam family "Bacterial small subunit ribosomal RNA", at positions 29 to 404 of the family's 1533-position model. The record is from RNAcentral.